Molecule: ribosomal RNA, 678 nt
Filed under: Triticum aestivum (bread wheat)
Lineage: Eukaryota; Viridiplantae; Streptophyta; Magnoliopsida; Poales; Poaceae
Description: partial small subunit ribosomal RNA
Source: RNAcentral
AUGAGAUCUCUCUGCUACGUGACUUUCCUGCUCAUCUCGUCCAUCAGCAGCGUGCAACUCUCUGCAUCCGUACGCCUCUUGGCCGAAAGUCCACAUGGCCAGCCAGGUGCACCGGCGCCGCUCCCUCCCGGCGGCCUGCCGGGAAACUUCCCGGCUAAUGUCCCCGCGAGCAUGUCAGACAACAUUCCGGGGAACCUCCCUGCUAGCCUGCCAGAGAACAUGCCGAUAAACCUCCCUGCCAACGUGCCACCGGGGGUGCUUGCGAACGUGCCACCGGGGAUGCUAGCCAGUGUACCACCGGAGAUGCUGGCCAACCUCUCCACCACCAUGACGCCGGCGAUGCUGUCCAAGAUCCCGCCGGAGGCGCUGGCCAGCAUCCCGCCAGACAAGCUGCCACCAAACGUGACGCCAGAUAUGUUGGUCACCCUCGCGGCGAUGAAGCAGCAGGAGCAGCAGCAGCCAGGGCAGCCUGCUGCUGGGGCAUCCCAGGGCAACGCAGCGGCGGGCUUGCCGCAGAUCCCCAAGAUGCCCGACUUAUCGGGGCUGACGAACCUCUCUUUCCCGCCGAUGCCUUCGGCGUCCCUGCCGAAGAUGCCGCAAAACCUCUCGCUCUUCGGGUUCGACGUGAAGAUCCCAAAGUUCAUCAACAAGAUGGUAAAGGAGAACACAGAUUCCUGA